This 376-nucleotide unclassified non-coding RNA is filed under the name uncultured bacterium. RNAcentral's name for it is "contains 16S-23S intergenic spacer region". The record is from RNAcentral.
UCCGCUUUACAGCGGCAGUUUGUUCCGAGUCCCCGACUUUACUCGCUGGUAACAGAACAUGAGGGUUGCGCUCGUUGCGGGACUUAACCCAACAUUUCACAACACGAGCUGACGACAGCCAUGCACCACCUGUGAAUCACCCUCGAAAGCGACUGCUUUUCGGCAGCUUGCAGGUGCAUGUCAAACCCAGGUAAGGUUCUUCGCGUUGCAUCGAAUUAAUCCGCAUGCUCCACCGCUUGUGCGGGCCCCCGUCAAUUCCUUUGAGUUUCAGCCUUGCGGCCGUACUCCCCAGGCGGGGCACUUAACGCGUUAGCUGCGGCACGGAAGGGGUCGAUCUCACCCGCGCCCAGUGCCCAUCGUUUACGGCGUGGACUAC